CUGAAUAACUGAGCAAAUUGCUUCGGUCUUGCACCGGCAAUGUAUCCUUCAAGUGUCUGCCUUAUCAACUUUCGAUGGUACUUUAUGCGACUACCAUGGUUGUAACGGGUAACGGAGAAUUAGGGUUCGACUCCGGAGAGGGAGCCUGAGAAACGGCUACCACUUCUAAGGAAGGCAGCAGGCGCGCAAAUUAUCCACUCUCGGCACGAGGAGAUAGUGACGAAAAAUAACGAGACGGGGCUCUUUCGAGCACCGUCAUCGGAAUGAGAACAACCUAAAUCCUUUAACGAGGACCUAGCGGAGGGCAAGUCUGGUGCCAGCAGCCGCGGUAAUUCCAGCUCCGCCAGUGUAUAUCUAUGCUGCUGCGGUUAAAAAG
This 376-nucleotide ribosomal RNA is filed under the name Nematoda sp. Its description in RNAcentral is "SSU rRNA". It matches the Rfam family "Eukaryotic small subunit ribosomal RNA", at positions 252 to 626 of the family's 1831-position model. The record is from RNAcentral. Lineage: Eukaryota; Metazoa; Nematoda.